UAACACGUGAGCAAUCUGCCCUUGACUCUGGGAUAACUGCGGGAAACUGUAGCUAAUACCGGAUACGACCCUUGGAGGCAUCUCUGGGGGUGGAAAGAAUUUCGGUCAAGGAUGAGCUCGCGGCCUAUCAGCUAGUUGGUGAGGUAAUGGCUCACCAAGGCGACGACGGGUAGCCGGCCUGAGAGGGUGACCGGCCACACUGGAACUGAGACACGGUCCAGACUCCUACGGGAGGCAGCAGUGGGGAAUAUUGCACAAUGGGCGAAAGCCUGAUGCAGCAACGCCGCGUGAGGGAUGAAGGCCUUCGGGUUGUAAACCUCUUUUAGCAGGGAAGAAGCGAAAGUGACGGUACCGUAAGAAUAAGCACCGGCUAACUACGUG
Molecule: ribosomal RNA, 381 nt
Filed under: uncultured bacterium
Lineage: Bacteria
Description: bacterial SSU rRNA
Rfam family: Bacterial small subunit ribosomal RNA
Source: RNAcentral